This 2335-nucleotide long non-coding RNA is filed under the name Homo sapiens (human). RNAcentral describes it as "HSALNT0400681". The record is from RNAcentral. Lineage: Eukaryota; Metazoa; Chordata; Mammalia; Primates; Hominidae.
UCGGCCCCCCAAAGUGCUGAGAUUACAGGCGUCAGCCACUGCAUCUGGCCCAAAAUGUCCUUAUUUCAAAAGAAUACCAUGAGGAUUCAAAUUAAUACAUGUAAAGGUCUUAGAAUUGUGCAUGGCACAUAGUUAACUUUGAGUAAAUGUCUGGUUUAUUGUUCUUACUAGUAGACCAUGGCUCAGCUUGUGUCUCGGAGCCUUCUCUAUGGCUUACAAGGGCCUGCAGGGUUUUCUCAGCUUCACCUAGGGCCAGGCUGCUUCAUUCCUCACAUGCCAUGUUCUGUUCAGACUCAGGACCUUUGCCCACACUGGUGCUUCUACCAAGCUCUGUCCCACUUAUCUCUGAGGUCUUAAUCCACAGGUCACUUUCUCAAGGAGCCUAGCUGCUCACUUCUUCCCCCAUCUGACCAUGGGCUCUGUCCCCUAGGCCUUGCCCAGUGCUGGGUCCAGAGAAGGUGCUGAAGAGUCUGGCUGAGUGUUGGACAGAGAGGAGGGAAGAGAAGAAAGGCCAGUUCCCACUCUCUUCAUCCCUUUCCUCACUGCCUGGCAAAACUAGAAAGAGGCCCCAAUAUAGCAGGUGAUUAUGCAAGGUGUCCAGUAUUCUCCAGACACUUUCUCUCAGGAUAAGGAAAGGGGACAGGAAGCUUAUGGGAAAGUUCUAGAAAAGGCAUCUUUUGCACUGUGCUGAGGCAACAGGCAGGAAUGGGGUAGCAAUCUCCAAAAACUAGGACUUCUUUCUGAGGUCUUUGACCCCAAGUGCUCCAUAGUCCAAAGCAGCUUCUCCUUCCUCCUCUCCACCCAAAGCUAUGGCGACUCCCUUGUCUGAUGCAGAUCAGUGCUGGAUGCUGUGGGGAAGAGAGUACUGGGCUGACAGUCAGUGGAUGUGGAUUUUGUUUCCCAGUUCCAUCGCUGAUUUGCAGGUGAGUCCUUUCCCCUGCCUGAGACUCUGGGAAAGUAUGGGCCUUUCCCCAACUGUCAAAUGAAGUGGGAAUCAUCUCAAAGGGCUCCGUCUAGGGCUACAGCAUAAGGAGAAUGAAAGUAACUCAUGCAGACAGAUGAGUGACUACCAGGGUUCUCUCUCUCAGGGGUAUCCAAAAGAUCCAGUAAUUAGUGUGUAAAUUGAGAAGCAACAUUCUGAAGUAGGAGAACUUGUUGCCACAAAGGAGUCUGAUCCUUCUCCACCUCAAAGCCCGCUGGGCAUUGCUCUGAACCUGCAGGAUUCCAGGGGAAGAGAGCAAUAGGCACAUCUAUGACCAGGCAGACUCCUGGGCAAGGCUAGAUCUUUCCACGCUCUAGCUCCUGUGGCCUCGACCUCUUCACCCCAGCACCGCCUCCAACUAGUCCAGACAAGUCCCAAGUAUUUUCAGCCACCUUUAUCUGAUCAGAAAUGUUUGGAAUUCCACAGCAGAAGGCAACAGCUCUGGAGGAUUUGGGGAAGGGAGCAAAUCCCUGCAACACCCUUCUCUCCCCACUGUACAGAUGAAUGCUCACACCCCAUGUAACCAAAAACUCAGGGCUGAAGGCACCCACGGUGUUGCAUUUCCUUCUAUUCUGUGAUGUGAUGGAACUGGGAAACAAAACCCACAUCCACUGACUGUCAGCCUCAUACUCUUCUCUGCAGCAUCCAACAUUGAUCUGCACCAGACAAGGGAGUGGGUUCCUUCUUGUUUUCUACCCUAUUCAUUUCUGCCCCAGUCCAUUACCCCUUUAAGGUGCAGAACAGUAAGAUGCCUGAGAUGGUGAGAAGAGGGCUAGGGUACUUUGCCUGAUGUCGAGGGAGGGGGCACCCAGAGGUGUGCUGUUCACAGUCAAUACCCAGAGCACCACCACCAGGAGGCCUGGAAGCAACUCACUGUCCCACUUGAUGUGGCCUGUGGACCACCAGAAAUUUCAGAGCGUCACAGAGAUGUGUGGUUCGAUCCUGAGCAGACAUGGAUGGUCACAAAGGUGAAUUCACUUGCUCAAGAUCCAACACACACAAAAUGGAGGUGGUUCAAACCCAGGUGUGUCUGACUGCAGAGCCUGUGUUCUUCCCAGUAGAGAUGUGGAUGCAGCACAAAUGGUAGAAAGGACCUGAGACUUAGUCAGAAGACCUCAGUUCACCCAAGGUAUCUGCUAUGCCCAAGGCCUCUGCUCAGUGCUGAGGAAACAAGCAUGGACAAGAUGUGGCCUCCACCCUGAGGAGCUCCUAAAUCUAGGACAGAGUAAAUCUGUUAGAAAUGUCUUCUCUGCACAUAAUUUAAGCUCUACCAACUGUUAACUUCUUUUCAUUUAUCCAAGUUUUGCCAGGUACCACACCAAUAAAAAAAGACUCAGUCCCUCUUCCUUCAGA